AUAAAUGUCAUCUUCCAUGAUUGUCUUGACCUUUCAUACGAAAUAAAAAGAAGAAUACCUUAGUAGCACUGCACUAGAUGAAAAAAAUUAAACAAAAAUAAACACUAAAGAUAAAUAAUAGGAAAGAAAAUUUAUGAAGAAACAAAAAUAACUAAUUAUAAAAAAAAUUACAAUUGACAACAACAACAACAAAUAAUAAUAAUAAUAAUAAUAAUAAUAAUAAAUUAAAUGUUGCACAAGUGUCGCCUUGUUGAAAUAUC
This 260-nucleotide long non-coding RNA is filed under the name Lathyrus oleraceus (garden pea). RNAcentral's name for it is "Pisum sativum (pea) long non-coding RNA (PSAT_LNC003248)". Lineage: Eukaryota; Viridiplantae; Streptophyta; Magnoliopsida; Fabales; Fabaceae. The record is from RNAcentral.